Molecule: ribosomal RNA, 423 nt
Filed under: uncultured prokaryote
Description: partial 16S ribosomal RNA
Source: RNAcentral
CCCUAUGGGGUGCAGCAGGUUUUACAGUAUCUACUCUUACGAUCCGGUAGGCCGACCACUUUCCGAAUUCAUUGUUUUCGUUAUAAGAUCUGAUGCGCCAGUAGUAUGCACCAUCGGCGAGGGCAUAAUCCAGGGUCAAUUUUCCCGGGUCCAGUUUUUGAGUAAACACCGUAGUGCUGAACGUGUAGACCUUGCUGAUCUGGAUUUCAUACCGGUAACCAUACGGUGCGUCAUUCCAGGUGAAGGUGGUGGUGGGAGUGUUGACAAAGGCGCCUGCCUCCGGUGAGGUGAGAACCGGCGGGACCGGUAUCGGCAGAGUGAUGGUCACCUGCCGUGCGGCACUCCAGGGGCUCCAGUUACCGGCUGUGUCUCUGGCUCUGGCAUGCCAGAAGUAGAGUGUAUUCACAUCCAUGGCGGGGGGGC